AGAGUUUGAUUCUGGCUCAGGACGAACGCUGGCGGCGUGCUUAACACAUGCAAGUCGAACGGAAAGGCCCGCCACUUUGGUGGUGGGUACUCGAGUGGCGAACGGGUGAGUAACACGUGGGUGAUCUGCCCCGCACUGUGGGAUAAGCCUGGGAAACUGGGUCUAAUACCACAUACGACCAUGGCGUAGGGGUCAUGGUGGAAAGCUUUAUUGCGGUGUGGGAUGAGCCCGCGGCCUAUCAGCUUGUUGGUGGGGUAAUGGCCUACCAAGGCGGCGACGGGUAGCCGGCCUGAGAGGGUGGACGGCCACAUUGGGACUGAGACACGGCCCAGACUCCUACGGGAGGCAGCAGUGGGGAAUAUUGCACAAUGGGCGCAAGCCUGAUGCAGCGACGCCGCGUGGGGGAUGACGGCCUUCGGGUUGUAAACUCCUUUCAGCCAUGACGAAGCGUUAUGUGACGGUAGUGGUAGAAGAAGCACCGGCUAACUACGUGCCAGCAGCCGCGGU
This 507-nucleotide ribosomal RNA is filed under the name Corynebacterium sp. oral clone 3RH-42. RNAcentral describes it as "bacterial SSU rRNA". It matches the Rfam family "Bacterial small subunit ribosomal RNA", at positions 8 to 521 of the family's 1533-position model. Lineage: Bacteria; Bacillati; Actinomycetota; Actinomycetes; Mycobacteriales; Corynebacteriaceae. The record is from RNAcentral.